GACGAACGCUGGCGGCGUGCUUAACACAUGCAAGUCGAACGGAAAGGCCCUGCUUUUGUGGGGUGCUCGAGUGGCGAACGGGUGAGUAACACGUGAGUAACCUGCCCUUGACUUUGGGAUAACUUCAGGAAACUGGGGCUAAUACCGGAUAGGAGCUCCUGCUGCAUGGUGGGGGUUGGAAAGCUUCGGCGGUUGGGGAUGGACUCGCGGCUUAUCAGCUUGUUGGUGGGGUAGUGGCUUACCAAGGCUUUGACGGGUAGCCGGCCUGAGAGGGUGACCGGCCACAUUGGGACUGAGAUACAGCCCAGACUCCUACGGGAGGCAGCAGUGGGGAAUAUUGCACAAUGGGCGGAAGCCUGAUGCAGCAACGCCGCGUGCGGGAUGACGGCCUUCGGGUUGUAAACCGCUUUCGCCUGUGACGAAGCGUGAGUGACGGUAAUGGGUAAAGAAGCACCGGCUAACGACGUG
RNAcentral lists this ribosomal RNA (468 nucleotides) under uncultured bacterium. RNAcentral's name for it is "partial 16S ribosomal RNA". It matches the Rfam family "Bacterial small subunit ribosomal RNA", at positions 28 to 507 of the family's 1533-position model. The record is from RNAcentral.